RNAcentral lists this transfer RNA (75 nucleotides) under bacterium. RNAcentral's name for it is "tRNA-Glu". It matches the Rfam family "tRNA". From Rfam's summary of the family: Transfer RNA (tRNA) molecules are approximately 80 nucleotides in length. Their secondary structure includes four short double-helical elements and three loops (D, anti-codon, and T loops). The record is from RNAcentral.
GACCCCAUCGUCUAGUGGUUAGGACAGUGGCCUCUCACGUCACCAACGGCGGUUCGAAUCCGCCUGGGGUCGCCA